This is a long non-coding RNA of Patella vulgata (common limpet), 3054 nucleotides long. RefSeq lists it as uncharacterized. The record is from RefSeq and is a predicted model, not a curated record. Lineage: Eukaryota; Metazoa; Mollusca; Gastropoda; Patellidae. The transcript has 7 exons.
UCAGUUAUGUUCAGCGAAAUAUGCAGUCUUGACAUAAGAUAACAUAAGUACGUCGGCCAACAAAGUGAGGAGACAAGAUUUAAAAUGAUGGACUAAUUCACCUAAUAGUCUAAAUAUGGAGGAAAAAAAACACAAGUCACGUAAUUUUCCCCCGAGAUUUUGACGAGAGUUGCCAUUUUGUUUUAAGAAAAAAUAUCACAAGUUAGAGACGAGAUAUAGUCAGAUUCUCCCGAGAUUUGAAGAAAGUUGCCAUUUUGUGCUUUAAAAUAUCACAGUGAGAGACAAAAACCUAAAUGUCUUUCGUAACACAGAAUAAACUGGUAUUUACAGGAAUUAUGUCCCUGAUUCUCGUUAUAAUAGCGCUUGUAAUCUACAAUUUAAAUUUAAAAUUUGAUUUGAAAGAUUUAGAAAAUAGAUAUCUGAAUCAUCAGCUGAAUACUGCAUUGCAGUCACGAGACACAGGACCUGGAAUCAUGGACAAUGACGCCAAAGGGGCCAACUACCUGAGAGUUAUCUUUGACUAUAUAGUUCUGGGUGUAAUAACUAUUGUCUGUACAUUGAUGAUACCUGCAGUUAAAGCUUUUGACGAGAAAAGGAAACCUGUACUGGCACAACAAGGACAUCAUUUGGCAGAAUUAGCGAAAAUUCAGGAGACGAAAAAAACCAUCAAUACAAAAGUUCUGUUAAGUUCUGAAGAUUCAGGAUUAGGAUCAAUAAGCACUUCACUUACAAACAUGUCUUUAAAUGAGGAAACUGAGCUUGAAAGGCAAAUAGAUCUUCCUAUCGGAUUAGAAUUAAGAAGUAUGCUUCUAUGUUCUGCUAGUAAUAAAAAUAUGUCUUUGGAUGAGGAAACUGAGCUUGAAAGACAAAUACAUCUUCCUAUUCAAUGUUCGCAAGCUCAUCCGUUUAAGACAUAUUUAGAGUGCUACACCAAUUCCAAUCAGUUGGUUUCCAAUAAAGUAACAGAUUGGCUUUAAUGAACAUCUGAUAACAGAAUUAUCUUAGUAAUUAGUAGCGAGAGCUUGUUCCUUUUAUUCUGAUUUUUUAAGUAGAUCGAGGCAUUUGUCAUCUAAGCUUCAACUACAAGGAUACUUGCGCACUAAACUUAUUAAAUUUAGAAAAACAUAAAAUUUUAAGUGCUCUCUUAGAAUGGAUACAUAUAGGUAUCGAAUAGCAUUAACUAAAUUUAGAUGUGGGAACCAAAACUUAGCAAUAGAAACUGGAAGAUGGCAUAAUAUAGAUAGAUCUACAUGUAAAUAUUGUCUGGAUAAUCUAGACUACACGACUAUCAAAGAUGAAAUUCAUUUCGUUGUAUCUUGUCAAAUGUGUAAAGACCUUAGAUGACAACUAAGGUUGUAAAUAAACAUUGUAAAUAAUAUAGCAGAAUAUAUAUUUAAGGCUAACAGCAUAAUAACUAGUUAUCUGUUGUAAUAUAAUUAUGUUUUAUAUAGUUGAUAUCUUUUAUUAUACUGUAUUUCUAUGUACUAUGGGCCAGAGGCCUUAAAUACUGAAUAAAGAUUGGAUUUAUCGAUCGAUUCAUUGGUUGACUGGUUGGUUGAUUGAUUGAUUGAUUGAUACAGGUCUAUUAAAUCAAAAAUUUUCAAAUACUUGUUUAUGGUAUAAUUAUAUCGACAUGUAUGAAUGGGAAAUUUUCAAAUCCUGGGUUAAAGUGUGAUUAGAUCUAUGAAUGAAAAUAAAUGUGUAGUUCUACAUGUGAAUGGUCGCCUGUCCAACCUUGUGUGUUUUCUCCGGCUUCUCCGGUUUCCUCCCACUGCUAAAGACCCCUACGCGCAAGCGAAUUAUUGAAAUAAAAUUAAACCAUAUGUUAGUGCCAAAAUGACCUAGUUUGUGUCGAGUGGAGGUUAAACCCCAUCUCUCUCUCUCUCUCUCUCUCUCUCUCUCUCUCUACAUGUGAAUCUGUUUAAAUUGUAGUUUUGAGUAAUUUUUGUAAGAUAGUGAACUACAUAUAAAUGUAUAAUGGUACACCUUUGCACUGUGUUAUGACAUCAUCCUUUACAAUCCAUUAGGUGAACACCUUUAAAUGUAUUCACUAACUGUCCACCAUAUUUCUUGUAUUUAUUAGCUAUUUUAAAGGACAAUAUUCGUGUCAGUCAUCGGAAGUGACGAACGUAAAAGGAAAACACAAGUUAUCACUCUAUGUAACUGACUGAAGUGACGAGUGAUAACAGAUACAUGAGCGAAUUUCGGCUCACUAAUAAUUCCUUCGAAGACCAAAAUUUGUAGCAAUGAUCUGUGUAUUUUAAGUUAUUGUAAUGUAUAGUAAAAUUUGUUAUUAAGUAUUUUUGUACACAGCCUAUAUUGUCACCUGCAAUAUCUAUAUGUACUAGGGGUUAUUUUAGUUCUAUGAUAGGUGCUCUGUUUAAUAUAUUGAAGUGGUUAAAGAUACAUUAUGGAAGACUAGAUAAAGAGCUGGCAGUUGUCACUAUAAUAGUUAAAAACUAGAUAAAAUAAAGGAAAUUUACUGAAAAUUUCAGUCAAAUCGAUCAGCCUGAACUGAGAAUUUAGCGAUUGAAUUUUGGGCGUAGCCUCGAUCAUCAUUACUAAAGUUAUUAGAAUAAAAUACAUAGUCUUGAUUAUCCAUUUUUUGAUUUAAUCAGCAGCAGCAGACCAGGUUCUAAUCCAGUAAAUAUCGCAGGCUAGCGAUGCCAUCGAGAGUUGAUUAUGGUCUUUUCAUGUUAAUAAAUGUCUAAUGAAUAAUUUAGAUAACAUUUCAGGCCUAAAGAAAGACCUGCAAAUUGGCAGAUUUAGCUCUUGCAUAAUGUAUGUUUAACAAAUGGGUGACAACGAGAACUGGGUUAAGUAGGUAUUUUGCAAGAUAGACGUACCUUUAGUCUCUUCAGCUUAGAGACUGAGAGAGGUCACCAUGAAGACUUAAAAAAAAGAGUGUAACACCACAAAACACAAGCUAAGGGAUAGGGAAGUUAUAUUUAAAGGAGCUAAAUCGCUAAUAUUUGGGACCUAGAAAUUGACAAAAAUGGGUCGCAAGGCAUAUAAUAAUGUAAUAUGAAUGUAUAUAAACUGAUUUACAUUCAA